UUUAUGCAAGGCUUGAACUCGUGAACUGCGAGAUCAUGACCUGAGCCCAAGUCGGAUGCUCAACCAAACUGAGCCACCCAGGCGCCCUGACAGCUACCAAUCUCUAAGUGCUGAUUGGACAAUCACCAAGGAAGGAUAUUUCAGGAAGGUCAUGUUUGAUUUUCAAGGCACUUUCACGGCAGAUUGAUUUUCAUUGCAGACUCCAGUGAAAUCACAUAGAUCGGUUCACCAACAACCUACGGAGCCUGAAGUCCUGUUCUUUGUAUCUACUUAAGACAUGAGGAUAGAUAAAAGGGAGUUGGGAAAACAGAGCGGAUGAAUGUGCCCGUUCUCUCAUGGCAGCUUCUGUUCUCGUUCCUCUACAGCUGGGAAGUAGGAUUGAACACUACUGUUGAUUCCACCAAGGAAAAUCCACCCCAUCAACCAGUGUUGACAGGAUUUUUUUCACAAUACUCGGGAUUUGUUGUCUCGCUGCCUCAAAGAAUGAAGAGGUAGACACAAAAUAAGCAGCAGGCCAAAGUUUAUUAGAGUAUAAGAUCAGAGAGGAAGAAUAAUAGGAAAGCUCUCUUUACAGAGAGGGGACAUUCGAGGGUGAAUACCCAUGACUCUAGGCAAGGGUCCUCGUUUUACAAGGUUCUGAUCAGCCCUCCCCUCUCCCUUCCCCCUUGUUCCUUCUCAGGUUCUGCCCUUAUUGGCUUUAUGGUUCUAGGUGCUGGGUUGUCCAUUCCUGCUAGGCUCCUUUCCAUCGUAGGAGGGGUGGUGUGUGGGCACACUUAGGUCUUUUGUAAAAUUCCUGAGGGGAAAUCUGAGGGGGAGUAGGUGGGGUCUGUUACAUUCUUCAGAGGAAUGUAUGCCUGAGGGGGCUUGCUGUGGUCUGACACUCCCAGCAUUGUUCCCAAAUAGGUGUUUUUCCCCACCCUGGGACCUGAGGUCCUAUCCUUUCCCUCUCUGCCUAUCAUACUCUGAUACACAGUGAUGAACCUCACCUCAACUCCUCCUCACCCAUCACUUCAUACAGUCUUCAGGAGUCUAAUUCUGAAGAUGACUUCAUUUGUGCUCAGCAAACGAGAUCCUUAAACUGAAAGAUCCAUACCCUUUACAGGAUGGCAGAUGGGUUUUAAACACUCAAAUUUUAUUUCUGUCACACACAAAAAUGUUAUCAAGCCUAGUAUCUAAAGCACUGCCGGGGAAAGAUUUUAAAUACCCAUUUUGUAAUCUCAGCGACCAAUCAUAUAUGCUCAGAGAUAGAGAAGUCAAGACCAAUGUUUCCGCGUGCUCUCUGACCAGUGGUGGUCAAAGAGGAUCGCCCCUGAUUUCGCAUCUGUGCCAGUCCUUCUCGUUUUGAGCAUUUUUGUCCGUGGAGAUUUAUCAUUAUCCUUCGUUAUUUGGUGUCAGUCCCAACCAUCGUGCUACGGAGGAGACUUUGUCUGCCACUCACCUGCAUGGUCCAUGGAGCCUGCUCUGUACCUGUUGAUGAGGAAGCUAAGUCACAGUAUAAGGAAGCCAGAAAAUGCUACUUCUCUCAUACUUGGCUGAACCCUGAGGAAAAAAAAUACUAUCUUCCUUAAAUCAACCAUAGAAGCAUUUUGCAUUCUUCCUGCCUUUCUUUCCCUUCAAGACAAAUCUUGUCACCUCCUUUUAUUGGAUGGAUUGGAAAUCCAAGACU
Molecule: long non-coding RNA, 1666 nt
Organism: Leopardus geoffroyi (Geoffroy's cat)
Lineage: Eukaryota; Metazoa; Chordata; Mammalia; Carnivora; Felidae
Exons: 4
Source: RefSeq, a predicted model, not a curated record